Molecule: ribosomal RNA, 251 nt
Filed under: uncultured bacterium
Lineage: Bacteria
Description: partial 16S ribosomal RNA
Rfam family: Bacterial small subunit ribosomal RNA
Source: RNAcentral
UACGAAGGGGCAAGCGUUGUUCGGAAUCACUGGGCGUAAAGAGUUCGUAGGCGGUUCAGUUAGUCAGAGGUGAAAGCCCAGGGCUCAACCUUGGAAAUGCCUUUGAUACUGCUGAACUAGAAUCCGUGAGAGGGUGGUGGAAUUUCCAGUGUAGAGGUGAAAUUCGUAGAUAUUGGAAGGAACACCAGUGGCGAAGGCGGCCACCUGGCGCGGUAUUGACGCUGAGGACGAAAGCGUGGGGAGCAAACAGG